AACGAACGCUGGCGGCAUGCCUAACACAUGCAAGUCGAACGAACCCUUCGGGGUGAGUGGCGCACGGGUGCGUAACGCGUGGGAACCUGCCUUUUGGUUCGGAAUAACAGUUAGAAAUGACUGCUAAUACCGGAUAAUGUCUUCGGACCAAAGAUUUAUCGCCAUUAGAUGGGCCCGCGUAGGAUUAGCUAGUUGGUGAU
Molecule: ribosomal RNA, 200 nt
Filed under: uncultured bacterium
Lineage: Bacteria
Description: partial 16S ribosomal RNA
Rfam family: Bacterial small subunit ribosomal RNA
Source: RNAcentral